AGGAGGAGAUACAGGAGCUUCACAAAUGAUUCAUCUUUAUUUCGGCUUCCCAGAGUGAUGUAAUGCGCUGUGACAGGCUCGGUGAAAUAUGAAGCAUGAAGCGUCCGCUGGGAAAUGUAAAAGGAAGUUGCUAUUCCUGCCACUAAAUAUCUGUAAAUAUUAAAUGGGCUUUACAAGUAUUUUCCUAGUUGCUGAACAAAUUUAGAGAUUGAAACAUUUAAAGGAAGGAAGGAAAAACAGAAACAAGGGAGAUACUGACACUGCAAUCAUUUUUUUUUUUUUAUAUUUCUUUGAAAAGAAAACACAUUUAUUUUAGACUUUUUAUAUGCCACCUGUAACAGCAAAAUGGCACCAGCCAUCCUACAAUUUGUGGUUUCUUUGGCCUUUCACUGCAAAUUAAUCAGGUGGCUUCUUUGUGUCUCUUUAUUAGUAGCAUUUAUUUAUGGAUUUUUGAAAUGUGAUUUUGCCAGUCAGGAGGAGAAGCAGCCAAUUAUGUUCUCAGCAAACAAACUUAGCUUCUCCAUACAGAAAUGGAAAUGUUAACAUCACUCUGCAGCAUAAAGAGACUAACUACAGAAAAAAAAGUGGUGAAAAAGUAGAGAGAGUAAAAUCUUUCUGAUAAUUUGUAAUAUUUUGCUUUGUCUGGCAUCUUCUGAUUUGCUCUGGAAAAGUUGCUACAGGCAGAAGUGAUGGUUAAAUGACUGAAACAAACUGAAAAGCAUCUAUAAUCACAUGCAGCUGGACCAACAUUUAGCUCUCAAAAAACCCCGACACCUUACCCUGCUCUUAAGCCCUCCCCCCCGUUAGACAGGCUCUUUAGGGCAGGAGCAGCCUUUUCAUGUGCUUAUUCAUCCCCCGUGCCAGGGCCCCGAGGGCAUUAAUGAGCCUUAACAGCCCUGAGCAGCCUCACCUGCUCCGUGCACCUGGGGGCCCGGAGCCUAUCUAUGCCCAGUGAGGGGGCUCAGCCCCUUCCUGGGCUGUCCCGGGGUGUGCUGGGCUCCAGCCUGGCCACAGGCAGACCGUGUGCAUUUACCUCCCACCCGGACCCCAAGCCUGUCUCACCAGCAUGGACCUGCCUGGAGAUGGCUGGGCCCCAUCCUGACCGCAGCCUGUGGGUGGGCUUCAUGGCUUGGCUUUGGACCUGCUUCCCUGACUGGCCACCUCCGCUCUUGGCUGGAGCUGGCCCAGUCCCUGGUCUGCCCUGCUUGCCUUCCUGGGCAUCUGACUUUAUUCCUCUGGAUCAGCAGUGCAACAGCAACCUAUAUACAGCGAACCCGUUUAGAUGCAUGUAUUGCACACGGUUUUAA
RNAcentral lists this long non-coding RNA (1307 nucleotides) under Anser cygnoides (Swan goose). Its description in RNAcentral is "lncRNA (ENSACDG00005014954.1)". Lineage: Eukaryota; Metazoa; Chordata; Aves; Anseriformes; Anatidae. The record is from RNAcentral.